GACAGAGGGUGCAAACGUUGUUCGGAAUUACUGGGCGUAAAGCGCGUGUAGGCGGUUCGGCAAGUCGGAUGUGAAAGCCCUGGGCUCAACUCAGGAAGUGCACUCGAAACUGCCGAGCUGGAGUCCUGGAGAGGAAGGCGGAAUUCUCGGUGUAGAGGUGAAAUUCGUAGAUAUCGAGAGGAACACCGGUGGCGAAGGCGGCCUUCUGGACAGUGACUGACGCUGAGACGCGAAAGCGUGGGGAGCAAACAGG
Molecule: ribosomal RNA, 253 nt
Filed under: uncultured bacterium
Lineage: Bacteria
Description: partial 16S ribosomal RNA
Rfam family: Bacterial small subunit ribosomal RNA
Source: RNAcentral